Molecule: long non-coding RNA, 1427 nt
Organism: Carassius auratus (goldfish)
Lineage: Eukaryota; Metazoa; Chordata; Actinopteri; Cypriniformes; Cyprinidae
Exons: 5
Source: RefSeq, a predicted model, not a curated record
GUUAAACAGAACAGAGAUGGAGUGACUCCCCUGAUGCUGGCUGUAAGGGAUGUGGAUCUGUUUGAAGAACUACAGACGCCGUGGGACUAUCAACCUGUGGAAGUGUUGAAGUAACUUGUCUCUUCCGUUAAAGAAUCAGCUGAGACUAUAAAGGCACAAAAGGAUCAUGCAGACAUCCACCAAGUCUUGAGUGUUUCAACGUCUCUUCUCUCGAGUGAGAUCAACUCCUCUGCCAAAGACUUCAGCAGGUCAUCUGUGAGAGGUCCAUCACCAACCUCCUCUAGAAGCCUCUGGUUCAAAGGUGACGCGGUUCUGUCACUUGUAUUAUAUGGGCCAUCACAGUGACUUUCUGUUGUUCAUAAGGGUGUGUCCUCAGGUGAACUACAUUACUCUAACCAAUAUUGCUUAGAUGAUGCUAUCACAUUGACAAAAGAUUCUGAGAGAGAGCUUCUGGGUAAAGGAGCUUAUGGAAUGGUGUAUUGAGGGUUAACCAGUCAAGGUCAGCUGAUUGCAGUAAAACAGGGGGCAUUGGAUGCUUAAACUUCAGAGAUGGCAGAAAAAAAAAAGGAGUGUGAACACCUGGAGAGGGAAUUGGGUCUUCUUAAGACCCUUCAUUACACUAACAUUGUUGGUUUCUUGGGCACAGAUCUCCAUUAAAAUGCUGUAAGCAUCUUCAUGGAUUAUGUUCCAGGUGGGUCUAUCUCUAAUAUCCUCAGCCGUUUCGGACCCUUGCCAGAGAAGGUCUUCAUUCUAAACACUCAACAAAUUCUGGAAAGUGUUGCCUAUCUUCAUGCUAACAGGGUUAUCCAUAGAGAUCUGAAGGGGAACAACAUUAUGCCUAUGCCCAAUGGAGUGGUCAAGCUAAUCGAUUUUGGUUGUGCUUGCCAUCUUAGCUGUCUUCAGACUUCAACUGGAAGAGUGAUGUUCUGAAGUCUGUGUAUGGUACUCCAUACUAGAUGGCGCCAGAGGUCAUGAGUGAGACAGGUCUUGGAAGAAAAUCAGACAUCUGGAGCUUCGACUGCACUGUGUUUGAAAUGGUCAAAGAAAAGCCACCCCUCGCACACAUGAACAGGAUGGCAGCACUAUUUUUUUAGAUUGGGACUCAAAAGGGCUCAAUGCCAUCUCUGUCUGAUGACUUCUCUACAAAUGCAAAGGGCUUCGUCAAGGCUUGCCUAACCAGAGAUCCAAAGCAAUGACUUUCAGUAGAGGAACUGUUAGAACAUCCAUUCAUCUUUCAUCACAGCCAAGCCUACAGUAGGCCAAUGAACUGAAAACUCGAUUCACCAAAUCAAAAGGUGACUUUUAAAAACCAUGAUGCAAAGCUAACUGACAUUGUGACCCAACAAAAUUUAACAUGGGGAAAUAAAAAUCUAAUUAAUAAAAUAAUAGUGAAGAUCUUUAAAUCCUUAUUUGAUAAAUGUGCCAAU